Molecule: ribosomal RNA, 253 nt
Filed under: uncultured Lactobacillus sp.
Lineage: Bacteria; Bacillati; Bacillota; Bacilli; Lactobacillales; Lactobacillaceae
Description: partial 16S ribosomal RNA
Rfam family: Bacterial small subunit ribosomal RNA
Source: RNAcentral
UACGUAGGUGGCAAGCGUUAUCCGGAUUUAUUGGGCGUAAAGGGAACGCAGGCGGUCUUUUAAGUCUGAUGUGAAAGCCUUCGGCUCAACCGGAGAAUUGCAUCAGAAACUGUUGAACUUGAGUGCAGAAGAGGAGAGUGGAACUCCAUGUGUAGCGGUGGAAUGCGUAGAUAUACGGAGGAACACCAGUGGCGAAGGCGGCUUUCUGGACUGUAACUGACACUGAGGUACGAAAGCGUGGGGAGCAAACAGG